This 753-nucleotide ribosomal RNA is filed under the name Leuconostoc lactis. RNAcentral's name for it is "bacterial SSU rRNA". It matches the Rfam family "Bacterial small subunit ribosomal RNA", at positions 63 to 804 of the family's 1533-position model. Lineage: Bacteria; Bacillati; Bacillota; Bacilli; Lactobacillales; Lactobacillaceae. The record is from RNAcentral.
CGCGCAGCGAAAGGUGCUUGCACCUUUCAAGCGAGUGGCGAACGGGUGAGUAACACGUGGAUAACCUGCCUCAAGGCUGGGGAUAACAUUUGGAAACAGAUGCUAAUACCGAAUAAAACUUAGUAUCGCAUGAUACAAAGUUGAAAGGCGCUACGGCGUCACCUAGAGAUGGGUCCGCGGUGCAUUAGUUAGUUGGUGGGGUAAAGGCCUACCAAGACAAUGAUGCAUAGCCGAGUUGAGAGACUGAUCGGCCACAUUGGGACUGAGACACGGCCCAAACUCCUACGGGAGGCUGCAGUAGGGAAUCUUCCACAAUGGGCGAAAGCCUGAUGGAGCAACGCCGCGUGUGUGAUGAAGGCUUUAGGGUCGUAAAGCACUGUUGUAUGGGAAGAAAUGCUAGAAUAGGGAAUGAUUCUAGUUCGACGGUACCAUACCAGAAAGGGACGGCUAAAUACGUGCCAGCAGCCGCGGUAAUACUAUGUCCCGAGCGUUAUCCGGAUUUAUUGGGCGUAAAGCGAGCGCAGACGGUUGAUUAAGUCUGAUGUGAAAGCCCGGAGCUCAACUCCGGAAUGGCAUUGGAAACUGGUUAACUUGAGUGUUGUAGAGGUAAGUGGAACUCCAUGUGUAGCGGUGGAAUGCGUAGAUUAUGGAAGAACACCAGUGGCGAAGGCGGCUUACUGGACAACAACUGACGUUGAGGCUCGAAAGUGUGGGUAGCAAACAGGAUUAGAUACCCUGGUAGUCCACACCGUA